RNAcentral lists this long non-coding RNA (330 nucleotides) under Homo sapiens (human). Its description in RNAcentral is "HSALNT0311608". Lineage: Eukaryota; Metazoa; Chordata; Mammalia; Primates; Hominidae. The record is from RNAcentral.
UGGGGACCAUAUUUCAAAACUGUCACAUGGAGAUUUAGGGAAAACCUCCUGGAAGAAGUGGCUUGGCUAAGUUUUGAAAAGUGCAUAGGGGUGAGAACAGGGAGAGAAGAGGAAAGAGGACAUGCUGUGGAGGGGCCAGCAAACGAGAAACUCAGGAGGCAGAAAAUCUCAGCAUGCAAAACAGGAAACAAGGAUACACAUAUCUAUACCGGUGGCUCUCAUUGGGUGCAAUUUUGCCACGUCUGAAAGCAUUUUUGGUUAUCACAACUUGGGAGCAGCUGCUGGCAUCUAAAAAUGAAAAUCAUGGUAUUCCAGAGACUGGCGAUGAUG